UCCAGACUCCUACGGGAGGCAGCAGUGAGGAAUAUUGGUCAAUGGUCGGGAGACUGAACCAGCCAAGCCGCGUGAGGGAGGAAGGUACAGAGUAUCGUAAACCUCUUUUGUCAGGGAACAAAGGCGGGGACGUGUCCCCGGAUGAGUGUACCUGAAGAAAAAGCAUCGGCUAACUCCGUGCCAGCAGCCGCGGUAAUACGGAGGAUGCGGGCGUUAUCCGGAUUUAUUGGGUUUAAAGGGUGCGUAGGCGGGACGGUAAGUCAGCGGUAAAAAUGCGGAGCUCAACUCCGUCGAGCCGUUGAAACUGGCUGUCUUGAGAUGUCGAGAGGUAUGCGGAAUGCGCAGUGUAGCGGUGAAAUGCUUAGAUAUUGCGCAGAACUCCGAUUGCGAAGGCAGCAUACCGGCGGCGAUCUGACGCUGAGGCACGAAAGCGUGGGUAUCGAACAGGAUUAGAUACCCCUGUAGA
This 466-nucleotide ribosomal RNA is filed under the name uncultured bacterium. Its description in RNAcentral is "bacterial SSU rRNA". It matches the Rfam family "Bacterial small subunit ribosomal RNA", at positions 330 to 794 of the family's 1533-position model. The record is from RNAcentral.